ACUGGUUCAUCUCUGAGGUCCUUUCUAGCCCAAAUCCUGUGGUCUCUGACCUCCGAGAGGUAGGCAGCAGAGGCCUUAAUAGCCCGGUUUUUCAGACAAGGGAGCAGACAGGCCAGUGACUCUCCCCACGUCCCACAGGCAGUACCCAGGAUCAAAAGUCCCUGUCCCUUUACAGUCAAACCUCUGGUCCAUUGCUCUCUCUUUGGGCCAAGACAGGAGCCCAACACAGCAGCAUCAGUGCCCAGGACGACGUGCCCCCAAGCACAUAACUCCUGGGUUUUUCCUAGCCAAGAUCAGAAGCCAAAAGUGGGGGUGGGCAGAAGCAGAGGCUGUCCCUCCAGCCAUGACCUGCUGACCCCUUCUUUCUGAUUUCUUCAUGCUGGUUCAACAUUAACCCGGAGGGGCCAGAUCGGCCAGCCUGUGAUCCCUACGUCCACAGCUUCUCCACGGGCACCAUGAUGGGUGUUCAGGGCCUGACCCUACAAAGCUACCUGACCCUAGGAGUCUUGGUAUCUCUUGCUCACUGUGAACAUGUGUUCCUAGACCAGCAGCAGGCACUGUCUGUGCUCCAGAGGGUCCGGCGGGCCAACAGGGGCCUCCUGGAGGAAAUGCGAGCAGGAAACCUAGAGCGGGAGUGUCUGGAGGAACAGUGCAGCUAUGAAGAGGCCUUCGAGGCUUUGGAAUCCACGGCAGCCACGGAUGCAUUCUGGACCAAGUACAAAUUUUGUGAAUCUGUGAGGACAACCUCAAGAGUUAUCUUUGAUGCCUGCCUAGAAGGAAAUUGUUCAGAGGGCAUCGGGUUCAAUUACCGGGGGAACAUCUCCAUCACCAAGUCUGGGAUCCCGUGCCAGCUCUGGAGGAGUCGCUACCCGCACAAGCCAGACCUCAACUCCACCACGCACCCUGACGCUGACCUCCGGGAAAAUUUCUGCCGAAACCCAGAUGGCAGUUCUACCGGACCCUGGUGCUACACCAGUGACCCUACCCUGCGGAGAGAGGAGUGCAGUAUCCCCAUCUGUGGAAAGGACAACAGCUUCACUGUGCCUCUGACCCCAAGAAGCCCCAACCUGUUGGCAGAAAGGAGCUCACAGCCUUGCAUCCCCGAUGUGGGACAGAAGUACCAAGGACACCUUGCUGUCAGUGCGUCUGGGGCCCCCUGCCUGCCCUGGGCCUCUGAGCAGCUGAAGUCGCUUCUCAAGGACAACAGUUUCGACCCUGCUGUGUCCCUGGAUAAGAACUAUUGCCGAAAUCCGGAUGGUGAUGAGGAGGGCCUCUGGUGCUUUGUGGCUGGGAACCCCAUUGGUCCAGAAUACUGCCAGGCCAGCUACUGCGACAGCCCCAUGGAUGAGGUGGAUGGAGACUUGGAGCCGGAGUCCGAGACCAUCGGGGGCCGGACCACAGUUCAGGAGUACCAAGUGUUCUUUAACGAGAACACCUUUGGUGCCGGAGAAGCAGGCUGCGGGCUUCGGCCCCUGUUUGAGAAGAAGGGGCUGGAGGACAACACUGAGAAGGAGCUGAUGGAGUCUUACAUUGGCGGGCGCAUCGUGCAUGGGGACGAUGCUGAGCUGGGCAGUGCUCCCUGGCAGGUGAUGCUUUUCCGGAAGACCCCUCAGGAACUGCUGUGUGGAGCCAGUCUCAUAAGUGACCGCUGGAUCCUCACCGCUGCCCACUGCCUCUUCUACCCCCCCUGGGACAAGAACUUCACAGUGGAAGACGUGCUAGUGCGCAUUGGAAAACACCAUCGCUCCAAGUAUGAACGUCACAUGGAGAAGAUCGCCAAGUUGGAGAAAAUCCUGAUCCACCCCAAAUACAACUGGAAGGAGAAUUUGGACCGAGACAUCGCCCUGCUGAAACUAAAACAGCCCAUCACCUUCACUGACUACAUCCACCCAGUCUGCCUGCCCUCCAAGGACGUUGUCCAAAAGUUAUUCCUAUCCGGGUACAAAGGGAGAGUCACCGGCUGGGGCAACCUGAAGGAGACGUGGACCUCCUCGAGAGAAAACCUGCCCACCCUUAUGCAGAAAAUCAACCUCCCCAUUGUAGACCAGGCCACUUGCCGGGGCUCUACCAGGAUCAAAAUCACAGACAACAUGUUCUGCGCAGGGUACAAACAAGAUGAUGAGAAGCGAGGGGAUUCUUGUGAAGGAGACAGCGGAGGGCCUUUUGUUAUGAAGAGCCCUUUCGACAAUCGCUGGUACCAAAUGGGAAUCGUGUCCUGGGGUGAAGGCUGCGACCGAGAUGGGAAAUUCGGCUUCUACACUCAUGUCUUCCGUCUAAAGAAGUGGAUACAGAAAACCAUCCAUCGACCUGGACUUUAGGGGCCCACCU
Long non-coding RNA from Vombatus ursinus (common wombat), 2328 nucleotides. Lineage: Eukaryota; Metazoa; Chordata; Mammalia; Diprotodontia; Vombatidae. The record is from Ensembl.